This 253-nucleotide non-coding RNA is filed under the name Gemmatimonadaceae bacterium. RNAcentral describes it as "partial 16S ribosomal RNA". It matches the Rfam family "Bacterial small subunit ribosomal RNA", at positions 524 to 776 of the family's 1533-position model. RNAcentral also lists the same sequence under 3 other names. The record is from RNAcentral. Lineage: Bacteria; Pseudomonadati; Gemmatimonadota; Gemmatimonadia; Gemmatimonadales; Gemmatimonadaceae.
UACGGAGGGUGCGAGCGUUGUCCGGAAUCACUGGGCGUAAAGGGCGCGUAGGCGGCCUGAUAAGUAGGGGGUGAAAUCCUGCGGCUUAACCGCAGGGCUGCCUUCUAAACUGUCAGGCUCGAGCACAGUAGAGGCAGGUGGAAUUCCCGGUGUAGCGGUGGAAUGCGUAGAGAUCGGGAAGAACAUCAGUGGCGAAGGCGGCCUGCUGGGCUGUUGCUGACGCUGAGGCGCGACAGCGUGGGGAGCAAACAGG